UAAAAUGACAAGAAUACAUAUUUGGAAGUAGAAAUAUGGCUCGUUAUUCUGCAAUUAAGUAAUUGACUAGAUUCUUCAGCACAGGAAAUGAAAAAAAAAUUUACUGUCCCUGAGAAAGAAAUGCAAUCUCUAAACCAAAUUUAAACACUUAACUGCAGCUGUGAAAACCACAGGACACCUGCAUUUGCAUCUGGUUCAGCAAGUUUAGGAUACCAAUUCUUGCAGAACCAUGCUCAGGACCCGAGAUAAAGAAGACAUCAUUGUUGGCUCACAGUCUAGUGGGGGAAACCUAAGACUGAACCAAAGGACAUGAGAGAGCAAUCGAGAUGCAACCCCGACCCAUUACAGAGGGGAUCCUGCCCUCUACCAGCAAGAAGGGAAGGUGGCAGAGACGGCCAGGAAGAACACGCACGGACGAACCGGAGCCCUGGCUUCCCUCCCAGACUAUCACCAUUGGGCCGCACCGCAUUUCUACGAAAGCCAUUCAUGCUUCACCCGCAGCCUCAGCAUAGGAAGCACAGCUCACCCAGCCUGGGUUGCUGGGUCUUCAGCACGAAGGCUUCGGUGUCACCCACAUCUGAUCUGAUACGUCUGUUAUGCCUUUCUCUAGCUGACGCAUCUUUUGACACAAGACU
Fukomys damarensis (Damara mole-rat) is the source of this 635-nucleotide long non-coding RNA. RefSeq lists it as uncharacterized. Lineage: Eukaryota; Metazoa; Chordata; Mammalia; Rodentia; Bathyergidae. The transcript is spliced from 3 exons. The record is from RefSeq and is a predicted model, not a curated record.